GGUCCUGACUAGCUCAACUGGUGGAGCAUGGCAUUAAAGUUGCCAGGGCUAGGUGUUUCUAUUCCCACUGGGACCA
Molecule: transfer RNA, 76 nt
Filed under: Merluccius polli (Benguela hake)
Lineage: Eukaryota; Metazoa; Chordata; Actinopteri; Gadiformes; Merlucciidae
Description: tRNA-Phe
Source: RNAcentral